Chaetomium globosum CBS 148.51 is the source of this 73-nucleotide transfer RNA. It matches the Rfam family "tRNA". From Rfam's summary of the family: Transfer RNA (tRNA) molecules are approximately 80 nucleotides in length. Their secondary structure includes four short double-helical elements and three loops (D, anti-codon, and T loops). Lineage: Eukaryota; Fungi; Ascomycota; Sordariomycetes; Sordariales; Chaetomiaceae. The record is from Rfam.
GGGGAUAUAGUCUAAUUUGGUAAAACACUGACUUUGCACGUCGGAUUUCCAGGUUCAAUUCCUGGUAUCUCCA